UGCGUGCGCUUCAUGUGGUACUAGCAGGAACAGAGGUCAGGUCUCAAGCCGGGCGCUCAAGGAGCAAUAGGAGACCUAUUAAAAGUUUUAGAUGAUCGAGAGUGCCCAGUGUAGGUCACCGGCUGGCCCAGGGCAAGGUGGGAUUUUUCUCCGGAUGAGAGGCACCAGGGGACCCGAGCGCCGGGGAUAUCCAGGGUGCCGGUGAUAGUGCGCAUCCACCGGGAGCAGCGGUGGGCGGCAGGCGGACGUGCUCAGGGCGCGUUCCGUCCCCUACUCAUGACAAAGCGGGUGAGGAACUCGGGAGCAAGUUUCCCCCGGGAGUCAAAAUGAUCACGUCGUUUUUCCCCUUGAAGAAACUGCGGCGAAAUGGCAAAUAUCUCCUGUUCGGUGCGAUCCUGCUGGCGGGAUUGGUGGCCGUGUACCACGAGAUGGUUGCUGCAAAAGAAUGGAGGAGUGAUAUGAGUCCAAUUACUGACGCUGACCACGUCAGCUGGAGGAGAGACGUGUUUGAAAAUAGGGCAAAAAAGGACCAUCAGCCAAACACUGUUGG
Molecule: non-coding RNA, 550 nt
Organism: Maylandia zebra (zebra mbuna)
Lineage: Eukaryota; Metazoa; Chordata; Actinopteri; Cichliformes; Cichlidae
Source: RefSeq, a predicted model, not a curated record